Molecule: non-coding RNA, 201 nt
Organism: Drosophila melanogaster (fruit fly)
Lineage: Eukaryota; Metazoa; Arthropoda; Insecta; Diptera; Drosophilidae
Source: Ensembl
AGCACACAAAUCCGGCGAAUGAGACACACCAUGACUUUCUGGCCCCGCUGCAUCGUUGUCACCUUGAGCUCUGGGUUAUUGGGUUUUCGCACUCUCGUCCUGCGUCCUUUUACAACAUCCUCGGCACUCCUGUGCUUCGGAAAAUGCAGCAGCACCUGCAACAGCAGUUGGUAGAUUGCUAGUUACAGCUAAAUACUAAAA